Long non-coding RNA from Gallus gallus (chicken), 11703 nucleotides. Lineage: Eukaryota; Metazoa; Chordata; Aves; Galliformes; Phasianidae. The record is from Ensembl.
GGGAGGUGGGGGGGCCGGGCUGCGUUUCGAAGUGCGUAUGGCAAAAACAAAAUGUGGCCGAUGGGGGGGGGGGGGGGCGGGGAGGAAAGCGCCGCUGCCUCGCCAGCCCCGGGCCUGUGACACAGGCGGUUUCGCUGUUUCGCUGGCAGCGAGUAUAUUUAGCACUUCCCCGAGCCCUUCGCAUGCUCCAGCCCCGGUGCGGAGCGCUCGCUUAAUUAAUUGACGCAGCUCUCGCCCCGCGGUGCCACAUGACGGGGGCGGUGGGUGGCCGAGGGCACGGCCCUACAGGGCUGGGGAAGAGAGCAGUACCAUCAACUCAGGAAAGCAUCCCAUCCCUUGCUCAGCUGUGUGAGAAAUAGCAGUGCCUGAACCACUCCUCUUGCCUUUCCUAGCCCGUAUUCCUCUGCAUUCACUUUUUGCUUGGAGCUUCCAGAAUUCUCACAUUUGGUCACGUUACCUGUUCAUUUACUUAGUGCUCUUUCUUACAAGUGCUGGUAUUUGAACCGACUGUUGAAAUUAAACAGAAGGCAUACUGCUUCUUCCUGAAGGGACCAUUAAAUUGAUGUAGGAAUUAACUUGAGAGAUGUCAAGUGCUUGAGGUUUCAGUAAAGAAGUUAGUACAGGAAUAAAUCUGGAAUCAUAAAUAUAGAUUUCAUGGGAAGAUAUGUCACUGUACUAUCACAAGAUUAAUCUGUUGGCUCAGGAUAACACUGGCUUUUGACGAGCAUAUCUUCAAAUAUUUAAAAAUCUGUUCCUGUGUUUUACCCUGAAGUGAUGUGGUCCAGCAUUCAUCUGGCUCACAUGCUGGAAAUGAUUUGUUUCUUUUUACAUGAGUCAUUUCUGUGCGUUAAUUGGUUAAUGGUUCUUAUGGUUAAUAGGCUUCUUGUAGGAUUUUUUGCCCUUGAAUUAUCAUGAUUUGGAGUAGUCAAGUUUGACUCAAAUACCAAUGUAGAAAUUCCCCCAGGACUGCUUCUUUCCAAAUAAAUCUUUCUAGGCUAUGUGCCUGUAAAAUUAUCAAUCUUAUUAUUACUUGUAUGUUAGCCUAAGUCAGGGCUGUGGUGGGGUUGUGUUUCCCUACAGCAUGUGUGGACAUUAACUCUUUAGGGUUCAGAGUUGCAGAUAAUGUGGUAAGGGGUUGGCUUCUAGAGGUGCCUUCAUUUACCCAGUAGCAGUGCCGUGCUGUGUACUUUAAUGAGGCAAUGAGUGCAGUGCCAUAGCAGUGAUAUUACUGAUACUUGGGAUUCUGCAUAUUUAAAUAAUAAAAAAGCAGUGUUGCCAGUGCAUGCUCACUCUUAUUUAGGUAUUACAUUAACAGGUAGUGAUCAUUUCCCUUCUUUUGUACAUUAUUGAAUAUAUUUUUCUGUUUUCUCAAAGAUAUUUCUUGCCACAAUUAGGGAAUACACCUGCUGAGAAGGUGGAACGUAAGGCCUUUUAAUGAAUUAUCAUGGUUCAGUUUUAUCCAUUCUGCUUUUAUUGCUGAUGGAGGUCAUUUUAGAUUGCCGAACUUCUAGUUGGGUCAACUUUAUUUAUUGUUUCUUCAGUACUUGAUAAUUAUUAUUGCUUUAAAAUACUGAAUUUCUGGUCUAAGAUACGUAAUGCUGACAGCAUUUGUGAUGUAAUUGUGAAAUCACUGGGAGUUUGUAGCAAGUGUGUUGGUGCCUGGGGGGGAUAAAAAAGGCUUUGUAGAUUUUCAGCCUUGUCAGUUGGUACAUGAGGCCUGGUGCACUUCAAGGGCUAUAAUUUUAAACUAAUGCAACUUCUCCUGAAGUGCAGUUUUUUAAUUCCUUGGUUAAACUGGAAGACUUAAAACCCGAGUCGCUCUGAUGGGUAGAGCCUUUUUUUCCAGUUGCUGACUUAAGUUUUUAAGGCUGUUAUCAUAUCCCUUUUUUCCUUUUUUAACUAAUAGCACUUUUUGUCUUACACAGCCUGCUUUCUUCAUGUUUAUUCCUCUAAUGCUUUUAUGACUAGGAAUUUUAUCACUUAUUCAGUCAGGUAAGCAAACAAAGCUUCUGCUCUAUGGUCAAAGCACUGAUUUCCAACCCCUCCCCUUCCUCUUUCUUUUGAUCAUCCUAAACUGUGUCCAAUCUGCAUAUUUGGCUCAGAUCUGAGAAAGAUUUGCACCUUAGUUUGCCUACUGCCCUCACUUAAAGCAGCAUGGCACACAGUGUCCCUUGGUAUCUCUUAAUAUCCUUCAGAAUGCCUGAAGUCCGUGGUGAGUUAGCUUGCUGUGCUGGGCUUUGAUGUGCAGUGCACUUGGAAUAGCUCAUCAAAGCAGAAACAUGAUUUAAGAAACUAUUCUUAAUCACUGUGCAGUUGUUAGCUGCUGCUCUACAGCUGACGCUGCAUGAAUCGUCCUCCAUUUCCUGCCUCAGAAACUUCGUGGUCCUGUCUUUCAUUUUGGAGCUGGUGCUGUUGUGUCAUUUCCCAGCUGAGGCCGGCAUGGAGUCUGCAGGUGCUUCUCUGCUUCGUUCAGCUGAUUACUGCCGUUGAACAGUUGAGCACAAACCACCGAUGGAGGAGAGAAUAACAGUGAGAGCUCAUGUAGGCAGUCUUCCGUUGUUGCUGGGAAGCAGCAGGAAUGAGCAACCACAUUCUCUAAAGCUAUCGUUUAUGCUGGUGCUCUUCUUUGCUUUUUACUCCUUGUGCUCUAGAUUGAAUCCUUUGGCUACUGUUACUGAUCUUGGCUGAGAAACUGUAAUUUGUAGUCUUAAGACUGCUGCUGGGGAUCACACAGCUCUGUCUCUUAUUAAAAAAUAAACAACAGCCCACAAAACCUUCUGGUGAAUCCCUUCCGUUCUGCAAGCACUGUGCUGUCAUUUGAUGGGUCAAUGUCACCAUUCUGUUGCCAUCUCUGCUACCAGAAAGCUCUUCCGUGUUGAUGCUUGAGUCUUCAUUCUUCUUAAACAGGGCACAUAAAAUAAUCGGAAAGUCUCCAGGCAGCUAUGGGUUGCUGCUCUAAAUUGGGUUCUCACGUGCUUUAUCUCACAGGUAUGUCAGUCUAAUGACCCAUGGUCACUUUGUGAUGGGCUGAGCUUUUUCCUCCUGCUUUCCAAAUGAAGGAGCUGUUUAUGGCAGAAAUAUAUCAUGCCCAAGACUAUGGCUGAAUCUUCUGUGCUGGAAUUCGCUUCUCUUAUUCAAGUUCUUAGGAUUGUCCAGCUCUUUCUGGGCAGCAUCCUGAUUCUCUUUGUAACAUGGUUUUAUCAACAGACAUGACCGUGUUCCUCCAUCUUAUGCUGGGAUUGCUAAUAGGAAAAAAAAAACAUAACAAGCCUAUAAUUCCUAAACCUAGCUGAUUAAUGUUUAAUUCUAGGACAAACACCUUUCCAUCAGUAGAGAAUAGUUACGUGUAGAAGUCUUCAGAAAAGUGGUAUUUUGAGGGGGAAAAAAAAUAGAAAUAAAAAUCAAGAUUUAAAACAUGUUCAGAGUAUUUUGGGGACUUAGAAAAAUCAGAUAGUGUGAUCCAGUUCUUCUGAAGGCAUUUCAGCUCAUUCUGAGUUACUGAACUCAGUGAAGGAAACUGGACAGAAAAUCUGCUUAUUUCCUUAAAUCAGUGGUAAAGUAGUUGAUGUAGUAUUGUUUCGAUUUGUGUAUUAGUUAUAAGUACUUUUUGAUCCAAAUGUGUGGUAAGUGUGUUAAAGAAGAAUGUAAGGAGUGGGGAGGUGGCUGAGAUAGAACCUGUAAGCCCUGCUAAGACAACUGUUAAAUACCGAAAGGUUCUUCAGUCAUUCAAACAGCAAAAUAGAAAGGGGAGGCAAAGCUGUCCUUAAAGGUAAUUGCAUUUAAGCAUUUGGUUCAUUCAUUUUGUAAAAUCAUGGGGGGGGGAAGGCUGGAUGGCUGAUGAAUGUAAGGGUUUAGAAACUGAGGUGGUUAUAAAAGUGAAAGGUGCUAAAGCACUGAAGUACAGAUUGUGUGAUGUGCUCCAAAAACUUUCAAGAGUGCUUUUUUUUAAGCUAUACCAGAGUUGUGGUGUUAAUCUUUUCCAUAAAGAACGUGUAUGUUGAAAUAGCUGAACUACUGCACUUAAUCCAGAUUGGUUUUUUUCUUUUUUAAACAGUAACAAAAACUUGGACAGCUUAGAACUGAACAGCUAUGUAUACUCACGUGGCUUCAGUAGACUUGGGGAAAAAACCUCAUACUGAGUGCUCACCACAGAAAAUAAAAUACAGUCAGCUUAUCAAAAGCAGCUCACGCUGGAAUAACCUGGUGUCUUCUCUGGCAAGACUACAGUAAGGUCCUUGAUGGGAACCUAUAUGGAAGAAUGCUAUUGAAGCUGCACUUUUAUCAAAAGAGCUGUAAUGUUGUUGACAAGGUUGCCAGGAAGUGGUGACAGGUAGUUUAGGAAAUGGAAGGAGAGGAAUGGGGGCAGGUUUUAGAGAACGUGCCUUUCAUGUGUGGCUUAGGUAUAAGGGGUGCCUAUACCUGCUAGGGCUUUGCACGAUGGACAUUUAAUAUUCAGAAUUAAAAAUAAAUCAGGAAGUCUAGAGACAUAGUGGUCACUUCACUACUUGAAGUGACACAAACUUUGCACUGAUGUGUUUUCUGAACUUCUGAAAUUCUGUUUUCUUUUGUCUGGAGUUUGCUGUUGACAACUGGUAAGCACUGACUGAACUACUAAUGUGAAUGUUCAAGUGGAAGCAAGUAAUACUGCUCUCUUUCAAUUUGUGUUGUGUGUUAUUUAUAAGAAGCUGUGAGGUCAUUGGCUUCCUGUAUGAGCCACUUCCUGAAAGCUUUUGUUUUACAUGGUAAAUCUAAAAAUGUAUUUCUUCGAAAAACUCAGCUGUGUUUUGUUUUCUCUUCUCUUGCUUCUGUCUCCUAAACUCUUGCUUCUGCUCCAUUGCUUAUUGCAGGCCAGGAUACGUUGUAAUGGAGGGCACGAGCUCUGCUCUAGGAGUGCUGCAGAGAAAGGUAGUUCCAAAAAGCCAUCACCAUUGGUAGAGUUGGAGCAGCUUAAAGCAGGCUGACAUGCAGCAAUAUUGACAGCCUCAAAUGUUAGUAAACAUGAGUCAUACAUAGGCAAAUAAUCAGUUUACGUCUAACAUUAGCAAAACCUGAACUAGCAAAACUAUUCAGUGCAUUAUAUUCAUGUUCAGUUCUAAAUAUCUAAGGGACAGUUAUUGCUGUGCAAUGCUGUAGUUGAAAUUACCUGCAGUUUUUCUUUUAAGGUUCUCAUACAGUCAGUGGCUUCUGAAUGCUUAGUUUUUAAAACAAACCAUCGAACUUCAUCAGACUUCAAGGAUUUGGCAAUAAAAGGAGGCAAACAUAUAUAUGUGCGUGAGAAAGGAAGCGAGCAGCCAUGCUUGAUUAUUCUGUGAUGUUACAAUCAAUGUUCUAUGAUUUGAAAAAAAAAAAGAUUUAAUCGAAGUCCAUGUAUUUUAAAACGUUGGAAUAGAGUCAUGAGAGAGCAAUAUAAAAUGAGCUGUAGCUGAUAAGUGCGUGUGUGUGUGAAGAUGAAGAGCUCAUCUCCUCGGAAAAGUUAGAAUUCCAAGGUAGUUUAGAAGAAUUGUCUGUUUUUCAACCAAGUUACUAAAAACAUGUAUAAUUUUUAAAGGGAAUAUAAUAUACAGUGUAUGGGUCACCUAUUUUAACUUUGUUUUACUUUGCUAAGCAAGGCUAAUAGCUAUACUAGCAGAGCAAAGAGAACCUAGAACAGCUCUAUAAACAAGUACUUUGGUCUAUGAAUUACCUGAAGUUUUAAAAUGUAUGGACAUACAGAGCUGCUGCUGUGAAAAGGAGAACCUCAUGUCAGUUUGAAGGUGCAAGAAAAACAAAUUGGUUUUGUGGCUAAUACAUACUUGUUCAAUUCAUAUGAUGUAUUUUGUUUAAUGACCAUAGAAGAUAAUACUGAGACUUGCUAAACUUCAUAGAAGUAAUAGCGUUGGGAAAGCCUUAAUACAAAUAUUUCUACAACAGACAAACAGUUAAAAUAGUUUGUUUUUUCUUUGUUUUUUCUUUUUUUUUGCCAAUCAGCGCACUGUUUUAUUGCAGCUACAGAGUCAUUCUCUACAUCUCCAUCAAGCCUUGCUGCCUGUUGGCAGUAUUCCUGUACAUUUCAUGGUAAUUUUAUCGGUUAUUAGCACUUGUCAAUAGCUUGUCCGUCAUAAAUCUCACAUCUCCCAAACCCUGUCUGCUCAUACCAGAAUCAGUUCGCAGACUUCUAAAAAUGCUAUUCAGACCUCAGCUUCAUGUGGCUUCAGUUGCUGUAGGCUGAAGAAUGCAGACUUAAAUUGACUUGAGAUAGCCAUGUUUGGUGUUCUGUUGAUACUUUUCCCCUCUCCUUUCUUGUCCAAGUUUGAAACUUGUGAAUGUGAAGAAGUGGAAGCAAUGCCUGCAUCAGUACUUUCUUAAUCCUGAGAUUGGUUCUUGAAAAAUUUCUCUCCUAAUGUGAAAGUAAUGACUCUGUGCUGAUGUUAUUGAGAACUGUGGGAGCAUACAUUUGUUUUAUAUUAGACUCUUAACUUUACCUUAGUAGUUUCAGUUUGUGUGUGUUAAUGUGAGGUGCUGGUUUACUGUCCCAGUAUCGUAAUGCAAUCACUGCACUGUCAGAUUGGCACAUGAUUUUGAUCAGUUCUGAGAAAUAAAUAACAGGUAGAAGUUACCAGUGUGGUUAGGCUGAAACAACGUAUCUGAUUGUCAGAUAUCAGCUCCAGGUGGACCUCUUCGGGUUUCACUGCGUUCCUCUUUGUGUUGUCAUUCACCUGUAAAGGGAAUCUGGGAGUGCUUAAUUGAAUUAGUUCUUACCUAUUCUGUCCAGCACGUAGUCUGGUUACUCAGCUGGUGAAGAAACUCAGGACCAUGACGAUGAGCUGCAAUGACCUGUGAUAGAAAAAGGGUUUGUGUAAGUGACCUAAGUCUUUAGGUUGUGGUACGCACCAACUUGUGUACAUCUGCUUUGUAGGAAUAGAGCUGGAAUUCCAGAAUUUUAAGUGAUUCAUGGAUUGGAGGAACACCCUGAUUUUUUGAUACUUAAAAUGCAUAGUUUUGGGGAUGGAGCUUCGGUGCAUAGACUUAACUGAAAAUUGGGUUGGAAUUGAGAAGAAAGCCUGAAGUACUUUGCAAAAGGAUCUUCAGUAUCUGUAUGCUUUUCUGAAAUUUUUUUCUGUUUUAAAUUAGGUGUGGAAUAAUUUCUAACAAUCUUUGCACUGUUAUUGUAUUCUUAACUGCGUAGGCACUGUGAACUUGUGGAGAUUUUGCAUAGGUCACUAAGCAAGGGUAAUAAUAUGGCUUAACUGCUGCAGUCGCACUGAAACAUAAUAAUUACAAUAAAAAAAAAAUGAAGUAAACUGAGAGUUAAGCAGAAAGGCUCUUAACAGCACAUCACUGCAGUUUCAGAUAGCUAUCACUAGGAGGACACACAGACCACGACAUUAAGGAGCUACUUGUUUACCUCUUCGUAUUAACUGGUUUGAUGCUAGUUCAUAAAAUACAGCAAAGUACAUGGUGAAAGGUUGCUGUAUUCUAAGUUGUAGCUUCAGAUAUUGCUCUACUCAAAGUAGAGAGUUGUCUAACAGAAGAGAAAGGAGUACGAUAACAUUUGGAAAUCUCUCGGUGCUUGCUUUGUCAUCAAAUCAGCAGAAUGCUUAUUGUCGUGUGCAUAUGCCAGGCAGUAAUUGAUGACGUGUAGGUGGAAGUGAUUUUUUUUAUUGGUUAUUGUCCAGUUUUCUAUUGCAGUAAUUUUUAGUACCUUUUUCUGUUACGAAUGCUUCUGCUGGGCAGGGUGCUGUGUAAGAUAGAUCACUGGCUGGGAUUUGGUGCAGCAUUUCUAGUCAUCUUGGCUAACGCUUAAUCUGUUUGUGGUCCUGCACGGUGUUUGCGGAUAGCUUUUCUUCUAAUUGUCUGUGCAUGUUUAUUUAGAUUCUGAUGUACAGUAUCUGUACUGGGUUAAGUAAAAUGGAAAUGAUGUAAGUAGUCUGUAGACUGCCCAUGUUGCUGAGGCAAGCUGUUACCUAAUAAGGAUUUCAGAAUCUGACUCUUUCUGUAUAGGAUCAUUAUUGAUAUCACACAUGCAGACAAAGAUGGUAACUGAAGCAUAUGCUUUAAAUAAAAUGACACGAGAAAAUGAAAAAUGGUUUCGAAUUUAAAAUUAGUGAAGGAUUCAUGAAAAUAACACCAGAUGGAGAGAAAAAGAAAGUAAGACAGAUUAUUAAUAAAUAUGAUGUGCUACUGUUACAUAGAAUAUAAUCUUGCAGGCUGCCAGUGUGUGAAAUUCAUUGUGACUUCUGUAAGAGUCGCUUUGUUGCAUAAAGUGAAAAUACGUCAACUGACUCUUCUGGAAUAAUACCUGGUAUUCUAAAUAAGAGCACAGCCCAGUUUUAGGUAGUUCAGAAUUAUUAUGACCCACCAGAUCUGGUUAGAACAGAACAGUCCUAAAGAAGUGUUAUUUAUGGAAUUUAUACAGUUUUACAUCUCUGGAUUCAUGUACUUUAUUUGGUUUGAGACAUUUUCCUCAGUAGUGCAGCUGGUUUCUAUAGCUGAAUUUUGUAGGACAUAGCAACACAACCACUCUAUCUCCCUGCAAGAACACAGGUCUGGGACUGUUGAGUGGAUGCUUUGUUGAAACUUGUGUUUAAAUCUGUUCACUUCUUACUCAUUUACAUCAUAGUUUAAGUUUUCAUCUAGCUGUUGGUUCUUACAGUAUCACUUUGAUUCCGAGCAGAACUUGUUUUAUUUUCUUAUAAUAUUUUUGCCCAUCCGUUUCUACUCUCCCAGCUAGUUGACUUCCAUAUGUUAUUAUGGGAAUCAGUCUCUUUUGUAUCACAAAAUCCUGGUGUGCUGCUUCAGGCUCUUAAUGGUCAAAAAGCAAGGGCACAGCAGGCUUCCAUUUGUUAUCUGUGCAGGCUCUAUGGAUAGGACUGGGCACUGUGCAAAUCUCAGGCUUUAGCCCCCUGAACCACGUGCAUCUUUAUAAUUUGAGUUGAAUUACACGUUUGUCAAAGCAGCUCUUUUUGUGGAACAGUGUUGCUAGGGGGUCUGCAGAGAUUCUUUUAUUUUCAGAACUUUCUAGGUGUCUGGAGUAGGACUUAGCAAAAUGCUUCAGGUGACAUCUGUCUUUAUCAAGGCUUCUCAUGCUGUCUUUAGGAUUUCCAUUUUAAAGAUCCUGCUCUAAAACUAAUCCAAAGUAUUCUAAAUAACAAUCGAAGUAAGAAUGGAAACUGCAUAGUACUGCUUAUCUUAUUUGAGAUCUACAGCAUUUUUGUUCUAGUUAUAAUUUUGGAAAAAAAUGUUAGGCCUUGAAGGUGGAGAUGAGGCCCUGUAUGGGAACUGUUGAGGCCGAGCCUGAACCACUGAUUGAGCACCUGGGGCGAGGACCCGGUCAGCCCUAGGAGCACAGGUGAAGGCAGUUCAGCUCUGUGACCAGAAGGGGUGGAGCCUGGAUGCACCUCUUACUUAGAUCUCAUUUAAGGACUAACUGCCACUGGGGAAGGAUCUCUUUCUGGAGAUCCCUCCUUGGUGAAGCUUUCCCCUGUGAAUAUGGAAUCUUCUGAUACAGGUUUUCAAUGACCAUUCUGUUACUGUAACCACCAUGGAUGCGAACGCUGUGGUGAUAAAGGCUUGCUAUUUUCUCCUACUGGAUUCCUCAAAUCCAAGAGCUACUCAGCAGUUUCCAAGGCAACCACCUGUGGAAUAAUUAAAAAGGAUGAAGUGUUAGUGUGCCAGAUGAAUGGAAUUCUUGCCUGGAGAGAGCACUUCAUUUUCAGCUGUUCUGAAGAAUCAAAUGUGAUUCUGCCAGCACAGUUCAGGUAGUACAACUAAAGAAUACUGAUUUUAUUAUCUGGAGUUACUGAAAGUUUGUGUAAGAGCAGCAAUCCCAGUAUGUCCAUGCAGUAUUCACUUAAAAUGGUCAUAGAUUCUUUAGUGUUAAUCUUUAUAUAUAUACUUGAACAAAAUUCAGGAGCAGGAUAAUGGAAGAGCAAUGUGGGUGAACAGUGUUUCAUGUAAGUAAAACACUUAGUUUUUGCUGUCUUUACGCACAGAUGAUUUUAAGCUGGUAAGGACUGAAAUGGAACGUACAUUAGUGGAAGCAUAAAUAUAGGAAGUGGAGACUUCAUGCCAAGUGCACUGAGAUUUCUUUGGCGUUCAGAAGAGUGAUGGAUAUAAAAGGAAUACAGGAGUGGGUAUUCACAGCAGAAUGACAGAAUCAAGGCUGUUUCUUUAUCCCAUAGCUUACUAGAGAGUGUGCAGUGAUUAAGUUGAUUUUGGAUCUCUGCUCUGGUGAAGCAGUAGCUAAAACCACUUUUAAGACAGCAGAUUGAAGAGGUGAAAUUUCAUAGUGGUGGACCAAAAGGUAAGGAAAAGAGCUCUAUUAGAAUAACAAAAACCAAAAAUGCCAAAUUCAGCUCUGAAAGUUUAAAACAUUACUACAAAAGUUUAUGGAGAGCUCCUAGGCUCUAGAUAGAACUAGAAACAUUAUUUAAGUAUAAGAUGUUGCUGGACCUAUCUGCUUAUUAUAUCUUCCUUCUCUGCCAGUCAUUCAAACACACUUGAAUAGAAAAAUAUUAUUCAUUUCUGACAAUGAAGUUAAAUGGAGAAAGCCACAUUCACGUUCUUCUCAUAGUCCAAAUAACUACUCAGUUAAGUUUGGUCACCUAGUUUAAUGCUUUUGUAUAGUUAGUUUUGGGUGUGAUGCUUUUGUGUCAUUUAUUUUAAGAAAAAAAAAAUUCUAAAUUUUGAAGUAGAAAUAUUUGGGAUACCAUCUGGACUUUACAUAAUAAAUUUUUACUGCCAAAAUGUUUGUGGGAUUCUGUUCGGAUGUGGAUGGGAUUUCACAUUCCAUGCCUUUUACAGCACAAGAGGAUCAUUGUUUUUUAGAUAUGGUGGGUCCAAGAAGAAAUAGAAAUUGCUUGAUGGCAGUUUUGUGAUUUGAUGGAAUAUAUAUAGAAGCCCCCGUUCAUCUAGUAACUAUUGUCACCUCUUAGAGCUGUUAAGAAUCUCAAAAGCUAAUGUUUGUAGGUACAGUCUGAGUGAAAUGGUCAUUUUAAACCCUAAUACUUACUUUGCAUUUCUAGUUUUACUGUCGUCACAGCUCAACUAUUAGAUUGUUUAUUUUGAAGUAAUGCUUCAGGCUGUCCAGUUUAAUCAGUAUACAGCUGAGGGAAGCUUUUCUUUUUAAGGAAAAACUACUGUUUUUUCCAUAUGAAAAGAUGCUGGUGAAGUAUCUGCAGCAGGCAUGGAGAAUAUAAUAUAAAGUUGACACACAGAGCAGGUAGAGGAAAGUAUGUGUGUAUGUAUGUACAUGUGGAUCCAAAUCCUUUGCUUUCCAAGAAACAUGAGUAACCCUGAAAGAUAAUGUGUAUACUUGUGGAAGAGUGUCCAGAUGUAUUUAUGUAUGUAAGACUAUAACAUGAUAGCUAUGUAGCAACUGAUUGAAGUAAGUCUGCAGUCCCAGGGGUAUACAGAGAAAAGCUUCAUCCUGGACACACUUUGAAAGCAUCUUCAACAUAUCCAAGUACCUCAGUUUUUCUUUUUCCCCUCAAAUAAUGUGGGUGAGAUUAUUCUCAUGAAACUUAAACCUUCCAGGUAGUGGUAAAGCUGAUUGUGGAAAGCAGGUAGGGAACUUCAGGGAGCUGCUCAGCCUAUGCCUUUGAAAAGAAUGAUGACUUCUGGAGGCACAUACCUUGUACUGUUGAUUCAGCCCACUAAUUAAGCCUAGAUGUUUGAUACUGAUGGGUGUGUUUAUAUGUGAAACUCAUGUACACACACUUUUCU